AUGGAUUUAAGUGGAUUUAUUAACUUCCCUCUGCUUUAUGCAUUCUCACUUCUUCCUGUGUUUAAUUUGUUUGUAGUUAACUGCAAGGCCUCUGAGGCACGGGAAUUCACAGCUGAGUUCUUGGAGAAGGUCCUUGAGCCAUCUGGAUGGCGGACAGUCUGGCACAUGAUGUGCUCAAGGUGCUGCUUGAGGCCACAGAUGUGGACAUUUCAGCCUUGGAGGCAGUGGUGCAGCUUGCUGAGCCAUACCUCUGUGAAUCUUGAGCGAGUACUUUCACCUUGGAGUGUAUGA
Molecule: long non-coding RNA, 291 nt
Filed under: Pan paniscus (pygmy chimpanzee)
Lineage: Eukaryota; Metazoa; Chordata; Mammalia; Primates; Hominidae
Description: lncRNA (ENSPPAG00000044970.1)
Source: RNAcentral